GCCUUUUGUAGAAUGAACCGGCGAGUUACGAUUUGAUGCAAGGUUAAGCAGUAAAUGUGGAGCCGUAGCGAAAGCGAGUCUGAAUAGGGCGUUUAGUAUUUGGUCGUAGACCCGAAACCAGGUGAUCUACCCUUGGUCAGGUUGAAGUUCAGGUAACACUGAAUGGAGGACCGAACCGACUUACGUUGAAAAGUGAGCGGAUGAACUGAGGGUAGCGGAGAAAUUCCAAUCGAACCUGGAGAUAGCUGGUUCUCUCCGAAAUAGCUUUAGGGCUAGCCUCAAGUGAUGAUUAUUGGAGGUAGAGCACUGUUUGGACGAGGGGCCCCUCUCGGGUUACCGAAUUCAGACAAACUCCGAAUGCCAAUUAAUUUAACUUGGGAGUCAGAACAUGGGUGAUAAGGUCCGUGUUCGAAAGGGAAACAGCCCAGACCACCAGCUAAGGUCCCAAAAUAUAUGUUAAGUGGAAAAGGAUGUGGCGUUGCCCAGACAACUAGGAUGUUGGCUUAGAAGCAGCCAUCAUUUAAAGAGUGCGUAAUAGCUCACUAGUCGAGUGACACUGCGCCGAAAAUGUACCGGGGCUAAACAUAUUACCGAAGCUGUGGAUUGUCCUUUGGACAAUGGUAGGAGAGCGUUCUAAGGGCGUUGAAGCAUGAUCGUAAGGACAUGUGGAGCGCUUAGAAGUGAGAAUGCCGGUGUGAGUAGCGAAAGACGGGUGAGAAUCCCGUCCACCGAUUGACUAAGGUUUCCAGAGGAAGGCUCGUCCGCUCUGGGUUAGUCGGGUCCUAAGCUGAGGCCGACAGGCGUAGGCGAUGGAUAACAGGUUGAUAUUCCUGUACCACCUAUAAUCGUUUUAAUCGAUGGGGGGACGCAGUAGGAUAGGCGAAGCGUGCGAUUGGAUUGCACGUCUAAGCAGUAAGGCUGAGUAUUAGGCAAAUCCGGUACUCGUUAAGGCUGAGCUGUGAUGGGGAGAAGACAUUGUGUCUUCGAGUCGUUGAUUUCACACUGCCGAGAAAAGCCUCUAGAUAGAAAAUAGGUGCCCGUACCGCAAACCGACACAGGUAGUCAAGAUGAGAAUUCUAAGGUGAGCGAGCGAACUCUCGUUAAGGAACUCGGCAAAAUGACCCCGUAACUUCGGGAGAAGGGGUGCUCUUUAGGGUUAACGCCCAGAAGAGCCGCAGUGAAUAGGCCCAAGCGACUGUUUAUCAAAAACACAGGUCUCUGCUAAACCGUAAGGUGAUGUAUAGGGGCUGACGCCUGCCCGGUGCUGGAAGGUUAAGAGGAGUGGUUAGCUUCUGCGAAGCUACGAAUCGAAGCCCCAGUAAACGGCGGCCGUAACUAUAACGGUCCUAAGGUAGCGAAAUUCCUUGUCGGGUAAGUUCCGACCCGCACGAAAGGCGUAACGAUUUGGGCACUGUCUCAACGAGAGACUCGGUGAAAUCAUAGUACCUGUGAAGAUGCAGGUUACCCGCGACAGGACGGAAAGACCCCGUGGAGCUUUACUGUAGCCUGAUAUUGAAAUUCGGCACAGCUUGUACAGGAUAGGUAGGAGCCUUUGAAACGUGAGCGCUAGCUUACGUGGAGGCGCUGGUGGGAUACUACCCUAGCUGUGUUGGCUUUCUAACCCGCACCACUUAUCGUGGUGGGAGACAGUGUCAGGCGGGCAGUUUGACUGGGGCGGUCGCCUCCUAAAAGGUAACGGAGGCGCUCAAAGGUUCCCUCAGAAUGGUUGGAAAUCAUUCAUAGAGUGUAAAGGCAUAAGGGAGCUUGACUGCGAGACCUACAAGUCGAGCAGGGUCGAAAGACGGACUUAGUGAUCCGGUGGUUCCGCAUGGAAGGGCCAUCGCUCAACGGAUAAAAGCUACCCCGGGGAUAACAGGCUUAUCUCCCCCAAGAGUUCACAUCGACGGGGAGGUUUGGCACCUCGAUGUCGGCUCAUCGCAUCCUGGGGCUGUAGUCGGUCCCAAGGGUUGGGCUGUUCGCCCAUUAAAGCGGUACGCGAGCUGGGUUCAGAACGUCGUGAGACAGUUCGGUCCCUAUCCGUCGUGGGCGUAGGAAAUUUGAGAGGAGCUGUCCUUAGUACGAGAGGACCGGGAUGGACAUACCUCUGGUGUACCAGUUGUCGUGCCAACGGCAUAGCUGGGUAGCUAUGUGUGGACGGGAUAAGUGCUGAAAGCAUCUAAGCAUGAAGCCCCCCUCAAGAUGAGAUUUCCCAACUUCGGUUAUAAGAUCCCUCAAAGAUGAUGAGGUUAAUAGGUUCGAGGUGGAAGCAUGGUGACAUGUGGAGCUGACGAAUACUAAUCGAUCGAAGACUUAAUCAAAA
This 2320-nucleotide ribosomal RNA is filed under the name Staphylococcus aureus. RNAcentral's name for it is "partial 23S ribosomal RNA". It matches the Rfam family "Bacterial large subunit ribosomal RNA", at positions 603 to 2925 of the family's 2925-position model. Lineage: Bacteria; Bacillati; Bacillota; Bacilli; Caryophanales; Staphylococcaceae. The record is from RNAcentral.